Pelobates cultripes (western spadefoot toad) is the source of this 235-nucleotide non-coding RNA. Lineage: Eukaryota; Metazoa; Chordata; Amphibia; Anura; Pelobatidae. The record is from the annotation of a GenBank genome assembly.
CACCACCAAUCUAGGAAUACAUUUUGGAAUAUGGCCAUUGAACAUACACAAUAUUCUGUUCUAUAAGGACAGAAACAAAAACAAAAAUGGGAAAUGUAUAAAAAGGAAUUUUUGAGCUGCAACUCUGUAAAUGGGAAGUACAUCUGAAAUUAUUGUGUAAAACAUUUAAAUAUAUGUAUAACUGUUGAGGCCUAAAAUGUGUUUGCCAUAGUUAUAUUGAGAUUAUAAAUAGUUG